AGUUGGGGACCAAGCCCUGCUGCCUGUCACGUCUCUGUAGGAUCAUGAGGCUCUCGCCGAAGCCACGCUGAGAACCCGUGCGCGGACGCCUGGCCGAGGUGCGGUCCCUGGGAGGUGGUGUGUGCAGGCAGACACACAAUGGUCUUUUAGACACCUUACCGCCGCUUUCCUGGGCUGAACCCAGGCGGCAAGGCCGAGUUCUGAGCACCCAGGCGGCAGCCCUGAGAUCUCGCUCAGUUGGUCUGGACCUCACAUCACGUAGGGAUUGGGGUUCCAAGAGCUCCUUUUGUAAUGAAGAAGGGCCUUCCCCAUCUCUGAACACCGGGAGCCUGGCACCCUAGGACUGCGUGUCCUGAAUAGCAAACUGGUUUUCCUAGGAUGCAGUCUUGGCCCCACCCUGGGGAGCUCUGGACUGGUGCAGUGUCUCUUCUGGUCAGCUGACAAAAGCCAUGGCAGCAACAUUGCCAAAGCAGGAGGGACAGAGGGCGAAGGACACACCCUGCGAGGUCAAAGGUCAGGCCUUCUCAGCAGCAGAACGGGAGAUCCUAGCUGGAGAUCUAUCUGCCCUGGAGAAGUGUGCAAAAGUGGGAUGAGAAUUCCUCAUUCCAUCUCCUCAUCCGCUUCAGUCUUCUAUCACAACACAGACAAGUUUGUCUCUUGGUCACACAUGAGCGUUCUCAAUUAAUUAACUUAUUUUAAAAUGUGCUUUACUUUUAAGUGUGUGUGUGUGUGUGUGUGUGUGUGUGUGCAUAUGAAUGCAGGUGCCCUUGGAAACCAGAAGAGUAACAGGGGACUGUGAGCUACUCAAAGUGGAUGCCGAUAACCAAACUUGGUCUCUGCAAGAGUAGUACUCCAUCUUAAUGGCCGUGCCAUCUCUCCAGCCCCAUGUGCUCUCUCUGUAGACGCUGAGCCCCUUAUAGCCAGCAUUUGUCUUCAUUAUUUCUGUAUUACCAGGAUAUAAUUUAGAACUUGGCACACAGUAGGUUCACAAGAUAAAUGAGUAUACCUUGAAGUCUCUCAACAGAUGUGUACUGUCCUUUCUCUAGAAUGACACUCAAGACUUGCUACCAGAAAGAAACAGAUUCUGAUUCAGAAAUUCCUUGGCCUGUGAAGCCCAUCUGAGCAUUUGUUACAUCCCAGACACUUUCGGGGCACCAGAGACCCACGGUUCCAUGCCCAAGUUGAUAAAGAGUAACCACACACCUCACUGUAGCUUUCUUUGGCCCCAGUGUCCCUGGAAUAGAUAGUGCCCAGUGCAUGGUUUGUAGUCAGACAUGGGUAACCCUGUGUCUAAAUGAGAGACAAGUUUAGAAAGCCUGGUUUUAUCUUCAAACAGCACAGAAACUGUCUGUUGCCGGGACCACAGGAAGCCCAGCAAGGCCCAGUUACAGAAGAUGUGAUAUUGAUUUCACAGUCUCUGUGUGUUCCCUGGACCUGUGGGUUCUCCAGUUAUUCUUAUUCUUAUUUUGUUUUUACUGUUAAGGCCAGCCUGUUACCUGGCCAGCUUGCAAAUUUUACUAAUAUUAUAAGGAAACUUUCUCCUAUGUUUCUGUUGCUACUAGGAAACUUUCUCAUGCCCAAGCUGCUUACAUAUUCUGUUAUGUCCUGUGCCCUUGGAAACCAAUCACGAUAGAAAUCAGAACUGCUUUGUGUAGUUACCCACAAUAAGCUUGGACCCCAACCAACUACCCAGCAGCACUUCCUGCGCCUGUGUGUGAGCUUUUAUGGUAUUUGAUUUUAUAAGUUACCCCUGGGAUGGACCUCCAACAUAAGAGAGACACCCGCACCAAUAUAAGAAACUGUCUGGAAUAAGACUUCUGUUCUGAGUAGUGGUUGAAUAGAGUUUAAGUUCCUAAGACCUCCCUGGGAACUGACAUCCUACUUGGCAGAGACAUGUAUGUGGGAAACUGACAUCCUGGUUGGCAAGUUAAGACAUGAAUGUUAGACAAGGCAAGUCCCCUACCUCAGUUGAAUACCCCAACCAAUGAGGGCAGCAUAAGUGUACAACAAAGACGUGUUCCCAAGGAAAUCCCUAUCCCUAAAUCCUGAUUAGUGGAAUAACUUGGCCCAGAUGUUGGUGGAUUUUAGGCUUAAAGCCCUGUAGGAUCUUAACUCAGCUCCUGAGCCUGGAUCGUGGCCCUGAUCAACCAGCCCUGGGCCUAUACUUCACAAACAAUCCAUCUCUGACUGAGGUUGGUGUUCAUGUGGGUUGUGAGGUGACUCCUGGACCCCCAACGUUAUAGAGAUAUGGAUUUUGUCUCUCAACUUGAUCUUAAGAUCCUCAAAGAAAGGGAGGCAUCAGAGUAUCACAUACAGUCACUUUCUUUGAUUGAGUCUCAUCUGUGAGAGUUGGUUCCCAUUGCUGGCUUGAUUAAGAAACACCUAGGGUGUUAAUGAGGCUCAUCAUGGGUGUGUCUGUGAGGGAGGAAGACCCACCCUGAAUGGGAGUAGAGCCAUCCCAUGGGCUGUUGUCUAGGACUAAGUAAAGAAUAAAAGGAAUCAGGCAUGGUGGCACACACCUUUACUCCCAGAACACAGAGAGGGGGGAGCAGACAGACCUGUGAGGUCAUAAGCCAGCCUGCUUGGUCUACAUAUUGAGUUCCAGGCCAAGUGGGGAUACACAGAAAGCUCUUGCUUCAAAAAACCAAACAACAAAACGUUAAAAGAGAAAAGCCACUAUUCACCUCUCUACGCUUUCUAGUCUGCUGAGAUGUGAGUGGGUUUUCUCCUGAUCCUGCCGCCUCAGACAAGCUGGGCUCACCACCACGUGCUUCCUGCUCUGUUGAAUAUAUGUCCCCUCGAACUAUGCACCAAAAAUAAAUCCUUCCUUCAGUUGCUGUCUA
This is a long non-coding RNA of Mus musculus (house mouse), 2843 nucleotides long. RefSeq lists it as uncharacterized. NCBI's taxonomy places the organism in Eukaryota, Metazoa, Chordata, Mammalia, Rodentia, Muridae. The record is from RefSeq and is marked validated. The transcript is spliced from 2 exons.